ACAACAGGCCACGAAGAGCUAGAGGCUAAGAAAGAAGGAUAUCAUAGCAACUCUCAGCUACAAGCAGUACAUUCUAAAAGAAAGAGAGUCCAAUGCAACGCAGCUGAUCAAGAAGACCUCCUGAGUCAGCAAAGAUAUCCAUUCAAGGAAGAACCCCAUUAUCAAGAAGCACCACCAUCACCAUGGUCCGCUCAUUCCUUUCGACAAGAAGAGAUGGCUAAAGAAGGGCAGAAAAUGUUCGUAAAGAGCACGGACAAUGCACAUGAUCAAGUGAUUCAAAGCCGUGUGCGUUCAAAGAAGACGCGCCCUUCACCAAUGGAGGUGGUGUUGAGCUAGGCAACCAAUUUUGGAAAGUAUGAAUCAACCAUCCUAUUCGUAAAAAUGAGGAGCUUGUAAGACCAUUGGAUCAUUGCAAGACAAUUAAUGAUGUCCAUGCCAAAGGAGUGGUGAUUGCGUGGCCUUCAAUAUGUGUUCGGAAGAUUAAUGGUUGAUUUCGCUUUCAUCUCACCCCAUGGAUUGAUAAACCGGCAAAGACUUUCCAGAAGAAGAAGAAGAAGACGAAUAGAUUAUCAUUUUGUCAUAUUUUAGUAUGAAAGACUGUAAUUCUAAAGACUUGCUUUUCUCAAAUGGAUUAUCAUUUAUGUUUUGUAAUGAUGGGAAGGAUGUUUUAACUAUUUUGUUAUGCAAUGCAAUCUUUAUUUUC
This 703-nucleotide long non-coding RNA is filed under the name Oryza sativa Indica Group (long-grained rice). RNAcentral's name for it is "lncRNA OsLima_02g0011970". Lineage: Eukaryota; Viridiplantae; Streptophyta; Magnoliopsida; Poales; Poaceae. The record is from RNAcentral.